AUCAUCAUAGUAUAAGAUUCAAAAGGAUGGCCAACACAUAUUUCAAACACGAAUCUAAGGUGCAAAGAAACAAAUUAGUGAAAUUAGUCAGAACUAAGUUGGUGAAAUUAUUGUUCCAAACAACACUAUAAAUGAAAUUGGACAUUCUACAUACAAGGACUCUAUAUAUUUUCCUCUGUCUUGCUGGACCAUUUUCAAUCAUCAAUUGGGUCAUGAAUCGAAAAGAUCUAGCUGAAUCCUGAAUUUUAGAUGUGAUCAAAACCAGAGUGAGAAGGAAUUUUACAAAGUAGAUGACAAGAACUUACCAACGUAGAGCGGACACUCAGGUCUCAGUGAAAACAUCAUUGCAUCUGCCAAGUUAUCUUACAUUUGAUCUAUCCACUAAGAUAAUUGAGAUAAGACAAGUUCAUGACUGAAGAAAUUUUCAAAUAUAUGCUUCAAAGUGAGCCUACCCUUCACGACUAAUACGACAUGUAUGAUUUAAGGUUCCAGCCGAACUUCCCUUUUCUUCAGGUACACCAAAUAUCAUAAAAAACACGAAGAAUCAAUCAAAUCAUGAAGAAGAUCAAACUGAAAUGGAUAGACACAAUACACAAAAAAUAAUCAUUCAAAUAAAAACCAAAUGUUUGAAAUGUAAUGACAGUCAUAAUUAGAAACUCUAUAAGAUGACAUGAAAAUGGUUGAAGACAUGUAUUAGAGGCAUUAUAUCCUUCUCAUCUUGACUCAUACAUAGUCUAUGUAGCAUUGGCAUCCUUCAAAUUUCAAUUUAACCGUCUUUCUUUCCUUUUACAUGACUAUUUAACUUGCAGAACUAAAAAAGAAAACUUGCAGAACUUACCCUCAAAUCUAAACACAAUAUACAGAAAACCAAACCAUUUUCAUCAUAGCUCAUGGUCAAAUUCAAUGCACCUACUACAGCACAAUAUAAUUAAAGUGACUCUAAUAUCACUGACUCACUUUGUAAUUUGCAAUGAACACUACAUAUGUCUACACUGUUCAUUUGGGGUUCCGACCAAACAUACAUUAGAAGUGAGUCAAAAUAUGAAGAAGGCGUUAAAAAUUAAAACUAGAACAAGAGAAGUUUCUCAGUUUGUAUAUGUAACAGAAAUAACAAGAAUCCUCU
This 1123-nucleotide long non-coding RNA is filed under the name Trifolium pratense (red clover). Its description in RNAcentral is "long non-coding RNA (TPRA_LNC007225)". Lineage: Eukaryota; Viridiplantae; Streptophyta; Magnoliopsida; Fabales; Fabaceae. The record is from RNAcentral.